This 820-nucleotide long non-coding RNA is filed under the name Solanum tuberosum (potato). Its description in RNAcentral is "long non-coding RNA (STUB_LNC005995)". The record is from RNAcentral. Lineage: Eukaryota; Viridiplantae; Streptophyta; Magnoliopsida; Solanales; Solanaceae.
CUCCUUAUCUCCCCACGUAAUACUUCUCUCCCAUUAUCUUUAUUUUUAUUUUUAUUUUUAUUGAAUUUUCAGUGUUUUAUCAUGAGAUGCAUACUCCUUAAAUAAUUUGAAAAUAUGCAACUCUCUUUUACUUUCUGCUAUACCUCACUUGAAUUUUCAGUGGGUUUCUUAAAUUUAUUUUAAUUUAUGAACUUUGUCUCCCUUCACUCAAGUGUAUUUAAAAAAAAUAUAGUAUGAUAAUUUAAACGAGUUACUUGUGUUUAGCCUAUGAAUUUGUUUAGCGUUAGAAAUUUUUAGAAACUUUAAAAAAAAUAUGAUUCUUGAUUUUUUUUUGUUUGCAGACAAAGCUCAAGGUCUAUAUCCUUAGGAAAGAAGAAUUGGCAAUUUUACUGUGGAAUUUGAGUGAGUAUCUUUUCUAUUUAUUUCUCAUUCUAAUAGCAACUUUACAAUUAAAUUUUUAUAAUAUAUCAUGUUUAAAUCAAAAUAGCAGUGAGUACACAUUAAAAUUAUAUUUUUUUCCUUUUCACACAGGUACAUUGAAAAAUUGAAUGAAGAGUAAAGUUAUUAGAUAAGUUGGCUACAUUAGCAUAUAAGGAGUAACAAUUUUAUUUUCUUAUUGACGACUAACAUUAUGUACUUCCAUUAGGAUCAUAUAAGAAUCUUUUAUUGAGAUUAUUUCAAUAUUAUUUUAAUUCUAAAAUAUAUAUGAUCAUGAGAGACACUUUUUGUUAUUAUGUUAAAUGUUUUAUUUUAUUGUGUUGAGUUUAUAUUAUUAUAUGAUAUCUGCUAAGUUUAAAAAAUAAAUUUAAUAUUUGUCAUG